Long non-coding RNA from Heterocephalus glaber (naked mole-rat), 402 nucleotides. RefSeq lists it as uncharacterized. NCBI's taxonomy places the organism in Eukaryota, Metazoa, Chordata, Mammalia, Rodentia, Bathyergidae. The record is from RefSeq and is a predicted model, not a curated record.
UGUCAAGAUGCCCAACGUGCGGGACAGAGCAAAAGUCAACAUGCGAAGGAGAAACUCACAAGAAGGAAUAAUUCUCAAACAGAAGUACAAUCUGAUCCCUACAGUGCAAGAGAUGUAAACAACUAGAGAUCCACAGCAGAGCUCCGUGUGACCUGCAAAAGUCUGGUUAUGAGGGAGAAAAGGCGAACCAGUGAGUGGAUGUGAACAAAAAAGAGUGCUGAUGAUAAGAAGGUCAUAAUGAAGACUUGCUGGCUCUCGUCUUUGGAGAUGUCUCCUUCACUACCUUGAGCUUCGGGAGAGAUUCUGGUUCUACGCUGCACAUAGAUAGAUUGAUCAUUUAAGAAAUAGCUGUUUUAAAACUGGUAAUACAAUGUUGAUGAGCUCCAAAUUUACCUACUUUUA